Epithele typhae is the source of this 79-nucleotide non-coding RNA. Lineage: Eukaryota; Fungi; Basidiomycota; Agaricomycetes; Polyporales; Epitheliaceae. The record is from the annotation of a RefSeq genome assembly.
GGCCGCCUGGCGUAAUGGCAACGCGUCUGACUACGAGAGGGUAAUCAGGAGAUUGCAGGUUCGACCCCUGCGGUGGUCA